Molecule: non-coding RNA, 46 nt
Filed under: Trichobilharzia regenti
Lineage: Eukaryota; Metazoa; Platyhelminthes; Trematoda; Strigeidida; Schistosomatidae
Source: RNAcentral
GUGCUGAUGAAGAGUCCCAAACUAGGACGAGACAGCUGUCCAGUAC